GCUCUCCCUCAGACACACUGGAGGGAAAGGUCAAACUAAAGGCGAGGGAGCAGAGAGACCGGAGGGAGCCGCUGCCGCCGCCGCGCGCCAUGACGGACGCGGCGGAGGCUGCUUUCUCAGUGCGGACGCCGCCGAUCCCCAGCUCUCGCCGCGCCCCCUGCCCCCCGCCCCUCGCGCGCCCCUCACCCUGGCGCUGGCGCGUCCCCGCGCCCUCUCCCCCGGCCGCUCCAGGCGCGCCUCGGGCUCGGGGCGCGGGGCGCUGGGAGCGGGAGGGUGGGGGCCGCGGCGGGCCGGCGGCCUCCUCGCCCGACCCCCGACCCCGGGCCAGGUGAGUGCCUUGGGGCGGGAGAGGGCGUCCGGAGCGGAGAGGACACCGGGCGCUCAGCCCCCCGCCUGACCCCCUUCCGGGGCGCUGACAGGCUCUCGGGACACGGCCUCUGGGGGGCGUCGUGGGGUCACUUGUGUCGGGGGGUGCUUUUUUGGCGCCCCCGUCCCUCAGGGUCGGGCGUCCGAGUCGUGGGGGGCUCGGGGCCGGGAAGUGGGCGCUGCGGUGCGGCCCUGGAGUGCAGCCGCGGCGACAGGGUAUGGGGCGGGCGGCGGGAGGCAGGUGGGCCCCUCCCCGGGGCUCGUGAAGUGGGGGGACCGGGCGUGGGGGCCGCGGGAAGCUUUCGGGAAAUGUUUAUCCGGCAGUUGCAAGAAACUCUGCCCUCGGGACGAGGCGCCUUGCUUUUUGCCGGGGCCAGCGAAAGUGGCGGAUUUCACAGCAAAACUCGGGUGAAGCCAGGCUGGACCGGCCGGGAGUGAGAGAGGCCGGGAGCACCCGUCUGGAUGGGGACCAGAGAUGAACGAAUCCGCCUGGAACUGUAGAAUUGGACAAAUCAACACUUAGCAUGUCCCCCUCCUGUAGGUCUUGUUGACCUUGGUGGCAUCGUGGAGGUCAUAUGUUCAUGGAGAUAAACAGUUCUUGAACGGUUUACUCCAGGUGGUAAAAACACAUGGGAAAGUGAUUUGGGCUGUGCGUAUCUUGGUUUUUUAAAAAAUCAUUUUUAUCGAGCGUUUAUUGUGAUCAUGGCCAAAAAUAAAAUAAUUCUUUGACUUUUUUUGAAAUACUAUACACACAUUUCUAUAUUACAUUUUUAAGAAUUGCUUAUUUUUCAAUUUUUCUAGUAUUUCUUGUAUAUUCUACCACAGGUGAACAACUCAUUUUUUGGGUGACAUUUUUAGAGCUUGCUUGAGGGGCACUAGAAAGAAGGGCAGUAAUGUGAUGUGAAUGUUUCAGCUUAUGAAAACAGCUGUGCUCUACUUUAAGAAAUUUGACAUUUAAAAGUGUAAGAUUGCAAAACAAAUUAAUUACUAGUUGGUUAUAUUAUGUGAGAAUUUUAAAAAAGGGAUUCACUAAAAGUUGUUUUCAAAUACUUAAUCCCUUUAAAUGGUAUUUAUCUAAUGUGAUUUGAUUUGUGAAUAAUCAGUUGGCAUACAACAAUUUAGGAACAGAUUUUUGGCAUAUGUAAGGGUUAUCAGUGUGUUCUUUGAGUUCUCUCUUUACCAAAAGUAUUUGGGGACAAAGUUAAAUUCAGUGUUGUUCCACUUAUAUGCCACCUAUAAUGGUUUAACUGAGUGGGAAAAUUGUCAUCUGAUUUAUCCCAUAUCAUUUAAGGCAGCGGUGUCCAAUCUUUUGGCCUCCCCGGGCCACGUUGGAAGAAGAAGAAUUGUCUUGGGCCACACAUCAAAUGCAUUAACAAUAACUAAUGAGCUUAAAAAAUUGCAACAAAAAUUUCAUAUUUUUAGAAAGUUUACACAUUUGUGUUGGGCCUCAUUCAAAGCUGUCCUGGGCCAUGGGUUGGACAAGCCUGAUUUAAGGAGUACAUUGAAGCCUAAUUAAAAUGCUUUUCACCAUUGAGUAAAACUUUAUGAUCAGGUUUGUCAGGAACCUCAUCCAAGGUAGUUUAGUUAGUGGAGUAUCAAAAGCACCUUGUUGUCAGACACUCUCACUAGGACAGUGGUCCCCCAGCAGAGGCCAACAAGCAGUUAUACCCAAACUUCAGCAAAAUCAAAAUAAGUAGAUUUGGUCUAAAGUCCACAAGCAGUAAAAACCGUUACCUUGAAAUUUUCUGUAGGUGCAAAUUAUUCUUCAGAAUUAAAGGCUUGAUUUUCCUAAGCUGUAAUUCUGUUUGAGUCACUUGUGAAAAAUGCUAUUUUGGUAAAAGAACAACUAUGUAUUCUUUCAAAGGAGUUUUUUCCCUUUGUGUUAAUGCAUUUGCGUUUAUUUGGAAUUGCAGGAGAUGAUGAAUGAAGUACUUGGGAAGUUUAAUUCAGAAAUCAUUUUGCUUUGCUUAUGUAGAAAAAAAAGGAAUGUGAGUUAAUAGGAGAACUUAUUUGUGGGUUAGUUCGUACUUCAUGUGGGGAUAAGGAGGAAAGGGAGGAAGUAGCUGCAAACUUUAUUAAGGAUAACUAAUCAAGUUUCAUUUGAUUUAUACUGUUCAUGCCUGGCUUGGGUAACAGUGACGCCUUCACCUUUUCCUAGUUUUCGAGAAAUUUUAUUCUUAGAGAAGGGGUUUGAAGGAUAAGAGCUAAGCAUCAGGGCAUACAAGAAGUAAAAAAUAUCUUCAGAAUGCUUAAUAGUAUUUUGUUUUGUUUUUAUACAUUAGAAAGCAAGAAAUUAUUUUAAUACUGAAUAUGGGUCAAAAGCCCAACUUCGGGAUACUGGGCACGGUUUCAUACCUCUUAGCAUAAUUGAAUAUUAUAAAAAUGGAAGGAACAGCUUGAAUGGUGCCAUUGAUUUUUUUAGUACAGGCUCUUAGUUCCUCAAUUGAACAAAUGAGUAAAAAUGAAGAUUAAAGAAGAGAUGAUAUUAAAAGAAGUGUUUUCCAUUUUUUAAAAAAUCCCAAGGGACUGUCUCAAAUGACUGUUAAUUUCAGAACAUAGAUUAAAAAGUACAUUACAUUGGAUUUAUGAUUAAUGAGGACACAAUUACAAUUUUUAAAAAAUACAUGUAAAAAAGGUGAGUAUACUACUGCAGUUUACAAAUAUUUGUGCCAAGAUACGUGAGGCUAGUGGUAAUGAUUAGAAAUUAUAAUUGGAAGUGAAGACUGAUUUAUGUUCUCAAUUUCAUUAUUUAAGCCAAUGUCACUUUUAAAAUGUCACUUAAUUUUUCUAUUCCCAAUGUUCUUUUCAAUAAAAUGCAGU
RNAcentral lists this long non-coding RNA (3186 nucleotides) under Homo sapiens (human). Its description in RNAcentral is "non-protein coding lnc-ZFAT-1:4". Lineage: Eukaryota; Metazoa; Chordata; Mammalia; Primates; Hominidae. The record is from RNAcentral.